GAUGAACGCUGGCGGCGUGCCUAAUACAUGCAAGUCGAGCGAACAGACGAGGAGCUUGCUCCUCUGACGUUAGCGGCGGACGGGUGAGUAACACGUGGAUAACCUACCUAUAAGACUGGGAUAACUUCGGGAAACCGGAGCUAAUACCGGAUAAUAUAUUGAACCGCAUGGUUCAAUAGUGAAAGACGGUUUUGCUGUCACUUAUAGAUGGAUCCGCGCCGCAUUAGCUAGUUGGUAAGGUAACGGCUUACCAAGGCAACGAUGCGUAGCCGACCUGGGAGGGUGAUCGGCCACACUGGAACUGAGACACGUUCCAGACUCCUACGGGAGGCAGCAGUAGGGAAUCUUCCGCAAUGGGCGAAAGCCUUACGGAGCAGCGCCGCGUGAGUGAUGAAGGUCUUCGGAUCGUAAAACUCUGUUAUUAGGGAAGAACAAAUGUGUAAGUAACUAUGCACGUCUUGACGGUACCUAAUCAGAAAGCCACGGCUAACUACGUG
This 497-nucleotide ribosomal RNA is filed under the name uncultured bacterium. RNAcentral describes it as "partial 16S ribosomal RNA". It matches the Rfam family "Bacterial small subunit ribosomal RNA", at positions 28 to 507 of the family's 1533-position model. The record is from RNAcentral.